Molecule: ribosomal RNA, 303 nt
Filed under: uncultured bacterium
Lineage: Bacteria
Description: partial 16S ribosomal RNA
Rfam family: Bacterial small subunit ribosomal RNA
Source: RNAcentral
AGCAGCAGCCGCGGGAAUACGUAGGGUGCAAGCGUUAAUCGGAAUUACUGGGCGUAAAGGGCGCGUAGGCGGACUGAUAAGUCAGGGGUGAAAUCCCAAGGCUCAACCUUGGAACUGCCUUUGAUACUGUUUGUCUUGAGUUCGAGAGAGGUAAGUGGAACUGCGAGUGUAGAGGUGAAAUUCGUAGAUAUUCGCAAGAACACCAGUGGCGAAGGCGGCUUACUGGCUCGAAACUGACGCUGAGGCGCGAAAGCGUGGGGAGCAAACAGGAUUAGAGACCCCUGUAGUCCCUGUCUCUUAUAC